RNAcentral lists this transfer RNA (74 nucleotides) under Mycobacteroides abscessus subsp. abscessus. Its description in RNAcentral is "tRNA-Thr(cgt)". It matches the Rfam family "tRNA". From Rfam's summary of the family: Transfer RNA (tRNA) molecules are approximately 80 nucleotides in length. Their secondary structure includes four short double-helical elements and three loops (D, anti-codon, and T loops). Further hydrogen bonds mediate the characteristic L-shaped molecular structure. tRNAs have two regions of fundamental functional importance: the anti-codon, which is responsible for specific mRNA codon recognition, and the 3' end, to which the tRNAs corresponding amino acid is attached (by aminoacyl-tRNA synthetases). tRNAs cope with the degeneracy of the genetic code in two manners: having more than one tRNA (with a specific anti-codon) for a particular amino acid; and 'wobble' base-pairing, i.e. permitting non-standard base-pairing at the 3rd anti-codon position. Lineage: Bacteria; Bacillati; Actinomycetota; Actinomycetes; Mycobacteriales; Mycobacteriaceae. The record is from RNAcentral.
GCCCCGUUAGCUCAAUUGGUAGAGCAGCCGCCUCGUAAGCGGCAGGUUCGCGGUUCAAGUCCGCGACGAGGCCC